AACCUAUAGACACAGAUUUGAUAUACACUUCUCUCAAACUGAAAGAAAGGAAAAUAAUACAAAGGACCUUAUAGCCUUUUGGACUUCAUCAUAAUGGAACAAUAAAGGACAUACUCUGGUUAAUAGGUUGAACAUCCCUUUACUGCUGCUGAUUUGAGGACUGCCAUCUUCCUCCUGAUUUUGGAGAGGUUGUACUCUAGCUGAGUGGAGAACAGACUGAACCACCUGCAGGAGUGAGUUUGCUCCCUCACAGCUGAUUGGACGAUGAGGACUGCCCUGCUGCUGAUCUGUCUGCUGGCCUUGGGCCUGGCACUUCCUGUACACAAGAAAAGAGUAACACGGUCAGACAGCUCAGAAGACGGGGAAGACUCCAGUGAGGAAGAUGGAGGAGAAGAGGAGGAAGAAGAAGAGGGAGGAGAAGGAGAAGAAGAGGGAGAGGGAG
Long non-coding RNA from Sardina pilchardus (European sardine), 442 nucleotides. RefSeq lists it as uncharacterized. Lineage: Eukaryota; Metazoa; Chordata; Actinopteri; Clupeiformes; Clupeidae. The record is from RefSeq and is a predicted model, not a curated record. The transcript has 5 exons.